Molecule: non-coding RNA, 31 nt
Filed under: Rattus norvegicus (Norway rat)
Lineage: Eukaryota; Metazoa; Chordata; Mammalia; Rodentia; Muridae
Source: RNAcentral
UGGCAUUGUUGUUCUUAUGGGGUCUCAAGCU